GAGUUUGAUCCUGGCUCAGGAUGAACGCUAGCGGCAGGCCUAAUACAUGCUAGUCGAACGGUUGGUAGCAGUACCAAUAGUGGCGCACGGGUGCGUAACGCGUAACCAACCUACCCGAAUCUGGGGGAUAGCCCGCCGAAAGGCGGAUUAAUACCGCAUAAAACUGCAGCACGGCAUCGUGUAACAGUUAAAGAUUUAUUGGAUUCGGAUGGGGUUGCUUGCCAUUAGCUAGUUGGCGGGGUAACGGCCCACCAAGGCGACGAUGGCUAGGGGAGCUGAGAGGCUGGUCCCCCACACGGGCACUGAGAUACGGGCCCGACUCCUACGGGAGGCAGCAGUAGGGAAUAUUGGGCAAUGGACGCGAGUCUGACCCAGCCAUGCCGCGUGCAGGAUGAAGGCUUUCUGAGUCGUAAACUGCUUUUACCAGGGAAGAAAAAAGGGGAUGCGUCCUCUACUGACGGUACCUGGUGAAUAAGCACCGGCUAACUCCGUGCCAACAGCCGCGGUAAUACGGAGGGUGCAAGCGUUGUCCGGAUUUAUUGGGUUUAAAGGGUGCGUANGCGGCUUGAUUAAGUCUUGGGGUGAAAGCCCCGUUGCUCAACAACGGAACUGNCCUGGAAACUGGGUUUAGCUUUGAGUACAGAAC
This 646-nucleotide ribosomal RNA is filed under the name uncultured Cytophagales bacterium. RNAcentral describes it as "bacterial SSU rRNA". It matches the Rfam family "Bacterial small subunit ribosomal RNA", at positions 9 to 654 of the family's 1533-position model. The record is from RNAcentral. Lineage: Bacteria; Pseudomonadati; Bacteroidota; Sphingobacteriia; Sphingobacteriales.